GACGAACGCUGGAGGCGUGAUUAACACAUGCAAGUCGAACGGAAAGGAACUGCUUUUGUGGGGAACUAAAAUGGCGAACGGAUGAGUAAACCGUGAGUAACCUGCCCUUGACUUUGGGAUAACUUCAGGAAACUGGGGCUAAUACCGGAUAGGAGCUCCUGCUGCAUGGUGGGGGUUGGAAAGUUUCGGCGGUUGGGGAUGGACUCGCGGCUUAUCAGCUUGUUGGUGGGGUAGUGGCUUACCAAGGCUUUGACGGGUAGCCGGCCUGAGAGGGUGACCGGCCACAUUGGGACUGAGAUACGGCCCAGACUCCUACGGGAGGCAGCAGUGGGGAAUAUUGCACAAUGGGCGGAAGCCUGAUGCAGCAACGCCGCGUGCGGGAUGACGGCCUUCGGGUUGUAAACCGCUUUCGCCUGUGACGAAGCGUGAGUGACGGUAAUGGGUAAAGAAGCACCGGCUAACUACGUG
RNAcentral lists this ribosomal RNA (468 nucleotides) under uncultured bacterium. Its description in RNAcentral is "partial 16S ribosomal RNA". It matches the Rfam family "Bacterial small subunit ribosomal RNA", at positions 28 to 507 of the family's 1533-position model. The record is from RNAcentral.